GUGUUUUUCAUAGUAUUAGAUAUAAGAUUAAUUAAAGGAGACGUACCCGCUUGUGAUAAGUAAGUACAUCAAAAACAGAAGCGUCUGUUUGAUUGAUAAAUGUGUAAGGAGCAUCGGUUUACCAGAGCCGAUGCUUUUUUU
RNAcentral lists this small RNA (141 nucleotides) under Bacteroides oleiciplenus. Its description in RNAcentral is "GibS sRNA". It matches the Rfam family "GibS sRNA". Rfam says of the family: A small RNA with a conserved region in the 5' region in gene clusters, related to carbon metabolism in Bacteroidetes. The record is from RNAcentral. Lineage: Bacteria; Pseudomonadati; Bacteroidota; Bacteroidia; Bacteroidales; Bacteroidaceae. RNAcentral also lists the same sequence under 2 other names.